RNAcentral lists this transfer RNA (69 nucleotides) under Capra hircus (goat). RNAcentral describes it as "tRNA-Gly". It matches the Rfam family "tRNA". From Rfam's summary of the family: Transfer RNA (tRNA) molecules are approximately 80 nucleotides in length. The record is from RNAcentral. Lineage: Eukaryota; Metazoa; Chordata; Mammalia; Artiodactyla; Bovidae.
GUCCUUUUAGUAUUAUUCAGUACAACUGACUUCCAAUCAGUUAGUUUCGGUACAAUCCGAACAAGAACA